UUUUGGGUCAUGUACGGGCCUAGUCCACUCAGCCUCGCACUUGGCUGAGUUACUCAGGCUGAUUCCAAGGCCCAAGGAAAUUUGAAUAGCGCGGCUUAGUAUUAACCAUGAAUGUUUGUCACACACACGCACAUGGCUAUUGUGUAAAUGCUCACACAUGAACCCUUUCAUUUCUUUAACAUUGGGAAAUUUUGGUAGUUUACUCAUGAAUAUUAUUUUUAAUAGAUUUUUCACAUUACACAGCAUAGAAGCUUAUGGACAAAUGAGGCAUGUGAUGUUUUUUUCUUUUUUUCUUUUCUACAUACUUGCUGAACAUCUAUGGG
RNAcentral lists this long non-coding RNA (323 nucleotides) under Amborella trichopoda. RNAcentral's name for it is "long non-coding RNA (ATRI_LNC000961)". Lineage: Eukaryota; Viridiplantae; Streptophyta; Magnoliopsida; Amborellales; Amborellaceae. The record is from RNAcentral.